UUAAGGAAGAACUGGAUUCAAGAAAUAUGGCAAGAAACUACCUUUUUAUUCAUUAGUUCUCAGCCGUUCCAUUGGAAAUCCAAAACAAAACAAAGAGAAAGACCCCAAGCCAAAUACCUCAAUUAAAAAAGAAAAAGAAAAAGGGGGGGUUUUGAGGGGCUUAAUUUAAGUACAACUUUGAAACAAAUGGAAUUCCUAGGAGGGAAGUAAACAACUUAGUAGCCUUUAGGCUUGUAGGCAAUGAAACUAAUGCACUGCACUUGACGAACGUUGUCGAACCCAAUGAUUCUAAUGAAUGCAUUGGGGUAUUCCUUCUUGCAAUUCUCAAGCUCCUCCAACACCUGAGCCGAGUCAGUGCACCCAAACAUGGGCAGUUUCCACAUGGUCCAGUAGCGUCCAUCGUAGUACGUGGGUAAGCUCGAGUACUUACGGUGCACGAAUCCCUCCUGCACAUACAUAUAAAACACAUUUAAUCAAAUCAAAUAUCCCACUAAAAAAAUAAAGUGUUGGAAAGGAAUAAUUUAGAGCUCGAAAACACCUCUAAUUCGAAUUCCAAGCAAGGAAUCCAUUUAGAGCGAAGAAGGUAAUCUACUUCCUUAGCCAACUGUACGGGUGUAAGAUCGGGGAGGUAUGAGAGUGUCUCGAACUUCUUCUUCCCAAGAGGAGGCCACACCUAUACUCAAAAGCCAAGAUAUAUAUUUGAUUCAAUUUAUGUAAUUUGUUGUGUUCAAACAAUUGGGGUAAUUUAAGUUGUAUUUAUGCAUCACCAAGUACCUGCAUGCAUUGCACUCUCCCACCAUUGCUUGCAAGAGAAGUGAUGUCGUUGUUGGCCUUCCUAGUGACUGGGAAAGCAGAGGCAGACUUGAGGCCGGUGAAGGGGGCCACCAUGUUGGCCUGUGCCGGGGAGGAGCAGUUCACGGUGGCAAUGGUUGCCGAUGAGAUCAUGGAGGAGGCCAUUGCUAUUACUGCUUACUAGUACUAUAUGCUACAGUUAUACAAAAGAGUCUCACUGAUCCCUUAAUAGUGUCACUGCCUUGGUGCAAUCCCCUAUAUAUAGUCAUAAAAUUUGGCCUAAGCUCACAACAUUUAGAGAUUGGUUUGGGAGAAAGGGUGACCGUUGGAUCCUAAAUCAGAUGACAUUACAACCAUUAUGACCACAAAGAGGGUGGAAACUUUUCUUGAAUGGUAAAGCCUUAUCUUUGGCAACCUGCCACGUGGAAGAAGCACAGUGAUCUUAUCUCAUUUCAUCCAAUGGAAACCGUGAAUGCCUGAUUUCUCCUUUGUCCCCUCUUCACGGUCCCAUUUGGCCAUUCCCGAUUCAAAAAAAAUCUAUGUCCAUACCUUGUUUGCUUGGUCAUGCUUGCCUUUUGUGUUUUUACCUUUCGCCUUAUCUUCAAAUAUGGUAACUCGGUAACCAAGUGUUAAUUCUUUCAUAUAAUUUUGAUGUCGAUUAUAGGAAUUAAUUGUUAACAUGAGCGCAGCUACAGUUGUAGUGGCAUGAUUUAAAAAAAAAAACUGUUAAAAAGGAGAAGGUAAUAUUAUUCUGACUAGACCUUUCUGAUGAUUAUAAACUGUUGCAGCUAAAAGAUGGAAGCAUUUUUUAGGAUUGGAAUGUAUGAGAGAAUUAAUGGCAAGUUACUGAAACAGGCUCUUACUUCAAGACCCCGCAACAUUGAAAGCCUUCCAACAAAACAAACAGUGAUUUUGGCAAUCAUUAGCAUGCAGUUAUAGAUGGCGCUUUUCUUUUUCCCUUUUUUGUAUUUAAAUACAAACAAAAAGGCUUGUAUCCCCAAAGAAUCUACAACAAGGAUUGGGGAAGAUUCAUAUAUAUGGAUUCCAUGUUUGAUUGCCUUGAGAUGCGAACAGGACCCAGUAAUGUGAGGGGUGAACCUUUGAUAAACGAAAGGAAGUUUGAUGUCACCAUUUUCGAGGAUAUAGUUUUGGAAGAAAAAGGGGGAGAAGAAGGAGAGUUGGCACAAUUUUAUAGUUCUGCAUCAUGACAUGAUUGUCCAUGUUCACUGCAGUGUACAAAUAUUAGGGUAUUACAAAUACAAUUUCCAACUCUGGAAAUAUUUUCUAAAUUUGGAGGUCAAAGUGUGGCCUGUUAGUCUCCUGGAAAACAGAUUAUGAUGAAGCCAACCAUUUUUUUAUAUUAUGCCACACUUGAAAUGCCAAUAAUUAUAUUCAGUAUGUUUGGAGAAAGAAGAAAGGCACACAUUUAUUUACCCACAACCACAGCUAAUUUACACAAGACCAAAAUCCAACGGAUUCCUGUACAAAACAUUAAUACACACUCAAUAAAUAUAACAAUACUAAACUAAAUCUUUUAAUCUUGAAGAUAUGAAUUAUUGAAAGAAAAUGAAUAUUUGAUAAUUACUGAAAAGUUAUAUGUUAGAUAAAAUACUUUAGUGAAUAAAUAUAAAUAUAACUAUUUAUAUUAAAUACAAGAUCUUGAACAAAUAAUAUAAACAAAUAUUUAUAUUCAUGUAAAAACACCAGAUCUAAACAAAACAAAUUAAAUAAAUAUUUAUAUUUAUUUAAAACAUCAUAUCUGAAAAAUAAUUAAAUAAACAAGAUCUUGAAAAAUCAGAAAUCGAAUAAGGGAAUCGAGUUUUACUAGAUGUUGAGGCCUGUUUUCACAGUUUCCAUAAGAUGGAUUCGGCAGUUCCUAGGGUACUUGGAGAAACGUUGGUCGUCUGUCUUCCAGGAUACAACAACAAAAUGAUCGUGGGAGUAGUGCUUCUGCAAUGAUCAAUGAACAAACCUUGCCUUUUUCUAUCACCGAACAUUUGAAAAUUUUGGAGAGAAAAGGAAAAGAAUUUUCGAGAGUGAAAUAAAUUCGUUGUGUAUCUCUAAAAAAUUCUGCAAUAUUCUUUAGGCUUUUUUAGGCAUUCAAUGUAGAGGAAUUUUGGAAAUUUCCAUGAAUAAAGAUACAAAUCUACAUUAAAGGAGCCUUUAAAUCAAUUUGAAUAAAAUAAAAUCAAAUUUGAUUGGAAUCAAAUUAAAACGAGAUAUUUGGCCUUUUAAAACAGAUUUUGUAUAAUAUUUGCUAAGAAAAAAAAAUACAUAUUGGGCUAACAUAUUCGCAGGCCUAAAAGGGCCCGAUCGGUCUAAACAUUUCGCGUUACCCAUGUCAUGCGAGUGCGUCCCCAACCCCGAUGGAUUUGGAUUUGCACCCCUUGAGCACAAGGGAGAGCAUUAGUUUACCAAUAACCAUUUAGUUGGUUUACAUAUAUAUACAAGUUCCACACUUGAUUCCUAAUCAAUGUGGGACUAAUGCUUUUUCAUUUUUUCUUAACAUAAUUCCCAAGUAGCUUACUUUAAGCAUCAAUUUCUCAUUCAUCACUCAACCAUUUUGAACAUAUGAUAUCCCAUUGUAAAGGUCUCAGGGGUAGAACAUUAAAUUAUAAUUUUAUGAUUCAAAACUCCUCAUUUACCAAUCAAAAAUAUGCCUCAAAGAUUUCAAAAAAAAAUCAUAUUUUUCCAACAAUGCCCCACAUGAAUGAAAUUGAUAAUUUUAACGAUAAGCAUUGACUGAAUGGGGUGAUAGAUUCUAUGAUUGAUAGUUGCAUAUGAUAGGUAGACAUCAACUCUUGUACCUUCCCUUGUGAAAGUAUAUUUACUUUACUAGCUAACCAAUAGACUCAAUGUCCUUGAACUAUUCUGCCGUUUGUGUAAAUAAUGAUAUACCUCACACAACUACCUUAUUGGCAAGGUCUUCGUUCUCAUGGGUAUGUUCAUAUGGCCAUGAACAUUUCUUGUGUAACACCCUUCGCCCGUAUCCCUCGUCGAAACAGGGUUCGAGGUGCUACCAGAUUUAAACUCAACCAUUUAUAUAAAACCAGUCCGUAAAAAUUUUUGAUCAAUUUUAAACUUUUCAUACACGCAUAUAUUAUCCUUUAAUCGGGCUUACAAGGCCCCAAAACAUUCAUGAGGCAUUAUUAAAUAUUUACCAAUAUCUUAGUCUUGUAUCAUUUACUUACUCAACAAUGAAUCACAAUUCAAAUUCUAAAUAUACAUGCUAUAAACCACAUCACAGGAGAUAAUAACAUACAAGCAUAUGAAUAAUCAAACUACCUUAAUAAUAAGCCAAAGUCUUUGGCUUAAUCAUAAUAUUACAUACUCAACUUUACAACCCUAUACAUGCCAUAGACUCAGAAUACUAAAAUUUACUUACGCCGAUAGCGUAAACUCGACAAUGUGAUAAUAUCUCUGACGGCCUCCAACCCGAGCUAACCUGGCAACCCUAGGGAAUAUGGGAAAGAAAAGGGGAGUAAGCUUUACGCUUAGUAAGUUCAUAAGAAAAUAAUAAGCAACUUAUUAACAAGUUUUAUCAAUGUUUACAACAUAAUCACAAAUUCACUACAAGUUGUCUUCUUGAGCAAUAGUCACUAAAUUAUUUAUAACUGGAGCUACGAAACUCCAAAUCAAUUGCCGUUAAUUUUCCCUGAAAAUAGACUAAUAUAUCUUCUAUCCAUAGAAUUUUCAGAAUUUUUUGUUUGGCCAAUCAAUACCAGAUUUUUCUUAAAGUUUUCUCUAUUUUACUGUUUGACUAAUCUGACCACUCUUCACUAUGAAUCAAAUUUCUCAUUGUACAGAAUUCAAAAUAUGUUCUCAUUGAUUUCAUUUGAAACUAGACUCAUUAAGGAGUCUAAGAAUAUAAAUUUUAUCUUAUAAAAUUUUUUGUACAAAUUAUAAUGAUUUUCUAAAAACAGAAUAAGGGACCCUAAAGUCAUUUGACUCUGUCCCACGCCACUUCAAAUAUCUCAUUAUUAGCAAUUCUUUUUCUUACAUGGUUUCUUUUAUAAGAAACUAUACUCAUUAAGCUUUAAUUACAUAAUUUAUUCAGCUUCUAACUCAACUCCCACAAUUUAUGUUGAUUUUCCAAAAUCACGUUACUGCUGCUGUCCCAAGCAGAUUUAUUACAAAUUUACUCUUUCACACAUUCUUUGCAUUCAUAUUAUUUAAACAUGUAUAUCACCAAUCAAUUUCAUCACAUAUCUAUAAUUUCACUUAAGCAUAAUCACAAUACAAUACAUCAUGCUCAAUGAUUCGCACACAACCGUUCAAAUUAGCAAUUAUAAGAUGGUUCCGCACAUAGCCCACCCUUAUCGAUAAUUUACGAUGGUUUUACCCUUACUCACAUAUAUGACAUAAGCAUUUAAAUACUUCAGUGUCUACUUUAAUUCAACCAAAUUCAACCAUUGUACCAUUUCAUAACCACAGUUACUUUCGUCAUUCAUAUCUAAAUGGUAUUUCACAUAAUUCAUAUAACCUUUCACCAUGACCGAAUACACACAUACACAUAUGACAUCUUCACCUAUGCUUCUCAUUUCACAUUCGUGAUUCAAUUCCAAUCGAUCUAACAUGUAUAAGUAUAUAUCACAUACCUGGCCAACUUAAUGUAUUGAACGAAUUCAAUUGCCGAUUUAACACAAGGUCUCAUAGUCUUAGACUUUUAUCAAAUCACCGGCAUUUAGCCUGCUAGGUUUUAAACCCGAAUUCAUCACCGGCACGAAGCCUGCUAGAAUUUAAGUCUGAACUCAUUCACCAGCAUUUCGCCUGCUAGGCUUGAAGCCCGAUAUCAUUUCACCGACAUUAUAGCCUGCUAGGCUCGAAGCCCGAUAUUAUCUCACCGGUAUUAUAGCCUGCUAGGCCCAAAGCCCGAUAUUAUCUCACCGGCAUUAUAGCCUGCUAGGCCCGAAGCCCGAAUAUCACAUUUCGAUAAACAAUUCACCUGUUCUUUCAUACUUUCAUAACUUAUACUUCAAUUACGUAUAACUGAAAUACAUAUCUAUGAACAAAGAUUUUCAUCCUCUCAACCACAUAGGGUUUAAUUUCCACAUUGGAACACAUAUCUUAGUACAUCAUUUAAUAGUAUCAAAAUCGACUAGAUAUGCUAGUCACAUACGGCUCAUAACUUUAAUUUAAUAUUCAUUCAAUACAAAGAACAUAUGUAUAUAUAUAUACAAUCAAACAUCUUCUUAAUUAUGAUUAUUCAACUCUUAAGCAUAUAACAUGAUCAAACACAAACACUUAAGAACUUACAUUGGAUUUUAUCGAAUAACUACAGAUUGACUAAUCGACUAGUUUUGCUUUCCCUUUAUCCAAAAUUGGCUCCUUAUGCUCUUGAGCUUGAUUAACAAAUUCAACUUAUCACAUCUCUAUUAUUUAAAACCACAUUUGGCAAUUUAUAAAAUACCAUAAUUAUCACAUCUCAUUCAUCCAAAAUCACAUUCGACACAUAAAAAAAAACAUUGAUAAGUCUCAAAACACAAACAACACUUAUCAAAUUCAUGUAAUUUACACACUUCACAUGGCACUACUACACUCAUUAACCUUACUUUCAUACAACCACUCUUCUUUGACCGAAUGCUAUAACAUCAAGUGCACAUGCUGUUCAUAUAGCCGAAUAUCACUUAACUAAUUAAUUAAAAAUCUUUUAAUACUUAAUUCCACAAGUCCAUUCGGCAUUAGCUCAUCCAACUCAUAUUUUUCAUUGACAACCUCUAUAACUACAAUUUAUUCACAUCCUUAUUCAUGCUACAUUCGGCCAUUAUAAAUAAAAAAAAAUAUAUAAAUAAUUACACAAUGAUCACUUUAGUCGAUUAUAAAAUUCUCAAUUAAAUCACAUAUAUCAUUUACCAGCUCAAACUCCUCCUUUACCUCAUUUCUCUCUUUAAUUCAUAUUCGGCAAUCUUUCUAACCGCUUAAACGAUUAUAGCACAAGGACAUUUUCAAUUCAAUCAAAGAUGAUCUGACAUUUACAAUUUGCAAAUGGUAAUUUCAUUCUAUUUAUCUCAAUUUACUAACAAACCCAACCUUGCAUGGAUUUAAGCACAUUCGGCCAUUAUUUAACAACAAUUCAUUCACAUCAUAAUUCAUGUUCAUAUUCGGUCAUCUAUACCCAUACUAACCGUAUAACUAUUAAAUUCCAAAUUUAAACACAAGUAUAACAUUUUAACACAAUGGCCGAACACUUCAUGAAGUUACCAAAACUCAUCAUUUGCUAUUUCACACACACUCACAUCCAAUCCUUUUUAUUAAACACUCAAAAUCAACCAUCUUCAUGCCUCAUCACAAAAACAUCAAAACACCAACCAAGAAAUACAACAUCCAUGGCCGAAUAUCAUCUCCAUCAAAUAGCAAAAUUUGAACCAUGGGCUAGGUAGAAUUCAAACUAACAACUUAAAAUAAUCAUGAAUUUCAAAGAAUAAUAUCAAUCAUACCUCAAUCUAGUUACAAGCAUAGCCGAACUUCUUAGAAACUUUUCCUUUUCUCUUUUACUUGGUUUUUUAGCUAAGGAAGAACAAAGAUGAACAAACUUUGUUCUUUUCACCCCUUUUUUAUUUCAUAUUAUAAAACAUUUAGUAAUUAUAUUUCUUAUAUAUAUAAAAUGCAUAUAUUACAAAUCAUCAUCAUCAUGGCCGGCCACUAACUUUAAAUUGGACAAUUUGACAUGCAAGUCCUCCCUUUUAAUAAGCCAUGCAUUAUUCGGUCACCUUAUUUCUUCCUAACACAUUCUUCAAGUUUAUCACAUAAGUCAUUUUUCAUAAUUUCACAUUCAAAUGACAAAAUUUAGACAUGAUACUUUCACACAUGAUACUUCACAUAUAAUAAACAUAGAAAAGAGCAUUUAAAUAAUUUUGUGACUUAGUUUUGUGGUCCCGAAACCACUUCCCGACUAGGGUCAAAUUAGAGCUGUCACAUCUUGGUUCUGCAAGAGUUUGAGAGAUGAUCUCCUCGAAGGGGCCCCACUUCGCUCUCACUUAGGUGACUUAUGUUACUCGGCUCUCCGAAACACACAAUCGUCAUUAAGAGCUUUGCUUAACCUAUCUCACUUUAAAUCACUAUUUAUAUCAUAGGAACAGACUUGGAAUAAGAACCCUCAUAGUGACCUCACAAGGCCUAUGCAAUUAGGUUGUCCCUUUGAACCUAGAUCUUGGGAUUCUAGUCAACUAGGUUGGGUUUUCCUUCACAUAGCACCUUUAAUUUCCAUGGACUUUAGUCCCAUUCCUUUCGAUGUUUUAUUAACCUGAUCUCAAUUUAAGCAUUUAGUUAGCAGAUCCACAAUGUUAUCUUUUGAUUUUACACAAUCUAGGCUAACUCGAUGCUCCUUCAACCAAUCCAUGCAAAAAAUAAGAUUGAAUUCACCGAAUGGAAGCUCCAUCAAGUCAGCUGGAAACAACUCUCCCUAAAUUUCUAAAAGAUAUCUCCUAAAAAUUUUAUUCACAUACACAAAUUGUCCUGGGGGACUGAGUAUAGUUAUGUCGCUAGCAUUGUUUUCCACCAGAACUCCGAAUUUGUCAGUCAUAGAGCAGGCAAUAUGAGAGUGAGUUGAUCCUACAUCUACCAAAGCAAAGUAUUGUACAAAAUUUUUUUGUAAAAGUACUUGUGUUAACAUUAGCUGCAUUACCGUUCUCCUGGUGCCUCGCUGUAUAAACCAAGGUGAGCUAUUUAGCAUUAAUGCAGUUCGCACCUUGACUAGUUGUCCUCUGCUUAGUAUUACCAUUUCUGUUUUUACUACACCCCCUUAGAUUCUGAUUCGAUUGGGGUUGCGGUGCUUACCUCUUACCCCUUAUUAGUGGACAAUCCUUAAUCUGUUGCUCCAUGGCCCCACACCUUGAGCAUACUCUCUUGCUUUGUCAACACUUGUAACACCCCUAACCCAUAUCCGUCGCCGAAAUAGGUUAUGAGGCAUUACCGGAUAAUACAUCACAUUCUCAUACAUUUAUGCAUUCAAUAUUAUAAACCAUUCACAAACAUUCACAUUGUCCUUUAAAAGGUUUUACGAGACCUUAAAUCAUGCUUAAAAGUGGUUCGGGACUAAACCGAUCACCUAUAAAAAUUUUCGAACACUUAGAAAAAUUUCAUGAAAUCAAAGGUCACAUGCCUGUGUGCAUAAGCCGUGUGCCUCACACGGCUACCAGACACGCCUGUGUCACAGGCCAUGUGAAAAUAGGGCAUACAUACUGACUUAUACCACACGGCCGAGGACAUGCCCGUGUGCUAGACCGUGUGAAAUUUAAGGGAGGUUAUUGAAUUAGGUCACAUGGCCAACCUCACACCCAUAUGCCAGCCCGUGUUCUACACAUGGCCAGUAGACAUGCCCGUGUGUCUAGGCCAUGUCAAAACUGUAUAGGCAGCCAAACCUAAACCACAUCAAAUUGCAUCAUUUCUAAACAUAUAUAGGCAGCCAAAACAUGCCAAUUCACACACAUACCAUGCUAUUUAUCCACAAUCAUUUCAACUACUCAAUUCCAUAUUCAAACAAACCAAACCAUUAUGCAAAAUUCAUCACAACAUACAUAAGUUCCAAAUACAUUAACUCAUUAUCUUAUCAUCUAUUCCAUAUCACAUAACACAUAACACAUUAUAAUAUCAUCUCAAAAUCAAACCACAUUAUGUCAACUUUUAAGCCAUAUUUCUUCAUCUAUAAACUAUACCAAACAAGCCAACACAUUAGGCAUUAUAAACAUCAUCUAUAUAUCACUUGACAAGCACAUAAUUCAAACCAACUUACAUGGUCAUAUACCAACAUUCACAAGCCAAAUCUCAUGGCUAAAAUCACAACUCAAAACAUAUCAAGAUGAUAAUAGCCUAUACAUGCCAUAUACCAUAUAUACAAAGCUUCUAAAAAUACCAACGAGAUGAUCGAUAGUGCGAUGACGUAUUCCUGAUGAUCCCCGAGUUCGAGCUAGCUUCGAUGAUCUAUAACAACAAGGAAAGAACACAUAAAGUAAGCUUUAAAAGCUUAAUAAGUCAUAUACAAAUAAAAUCAUCAUAUUAAUCACAAAAUUUCCAUUAUUAAGCCAAGUACAAUAUACACAUAUAGAUAUACAAACCUUUCUCAAUAAAAACAUAUUCAUUUUCUCAUGUAAACUCAACAACUACUUUAGUUUCCAAAUCUCAUAUAAAUCUCGUAUAUACCAGAGUCGUUUAACUUAUUAACACAUUCUUUCUCGACUUGUCUUUGCCCACUGAACCAUUCGGAAUUAUUAAGGAUACUCCAAAAUCAUAUAAGCUUGUACAAUGCCAUAUCCCAGAUAUGGUCUUACAUGUUAUCACAUAUCGAUGCCACUAUCUCAGAGAGGGUUUACACGAAAUCGAUUAACGACGCCAACGUCCCAGACAUGGUCUUACACAUAAUCUCAAUACAAUGCCAAUAUCCCAGACAUGGUCUUACUUAUAAUCACAUCUCAAUAACCUAAUGUCAUGACAUUUGUAUCCUAUUCUAUUCCUAAGGUUCGUACGGGACUUUCAGGUAUCUCAAAUCUGUCGAUUCUUGCUCGUAAUUACUUGUUCAACAUUCAUAACAAUUCAAUCAUAAAUAAACAUAUAUAAUUCAAUGUAAAUACAUUUAUUUGAAUAUGUACUUACCUUGUAGUCGAAAUAGAUGAAUUUGAUCGAUUACUUGAUAACUUUCGAUUUCCCUCAAUCUAAAUCUGAUUUCAUUCUUUCAGGAUCUAUAAAAAUUCAAAAUUAACUCUUUUAUUCCUAAAUUCAUUCAAAUUCAUCCAAAGCACAUAAUUUGGGGCAUUUUACACAUUAACCCCUAUAAUUUCACAUUUCUUACAAUUUAGUCCUUAUUUCACAAAAUCACAAAUUACAAAAUUUCUUUCUAAUUUCAUGCUAGCCGAAUUUCAUAUAGCUUCAUAUCAUCCCAUAUUUUCAUUUAUUUCACACUUUUGACCACACAUUUUACACUUUUCACAAAUUAGUCCUUUUUAAGCAAUUUCACUAAAAAUAACUUUACAAAACAUGAUAAUCUAUAAACAAUUACUCAUUUUCCAUCAUCAAACAUUUAAGAAAUCAAACAUUCAUGAAUGGAAAUUUACAAAAUCACCAAAAAAUUCAGAAAUUAGCGUACGGGCUAGCUAGUACUCAAAGCAACGAUAAAAAAAAUGUAAAAAUCAUCAAAAACUAAGCAAAAAACAUACCUCAAUCAAGAUGAACUAUGGAAGAAACCUUAAAGGUCCCAAAACUCUUAUUUUCUUUUGUUUUUUGGUUGGAAUGAAAAAUAUGAACAAAAUUUUAACUUUGUUUUUAUUAAAUUAUGCUUUAUUUAACUAAUUACCAAAAUGUCCUUAUUUAAUAUCAUUUAAAAUCACAUGAUGGAUGGCUAUUCAUGUCAAUAUCCACUAUCAAUGGUCUAAUUACAACAUAAGGACCUUUCAUUUAAUAAGCCAUAGCAAUUAGACACCUUUAUCAAUUAGAUUGCAACUUUUUCAUUUUACGCGAUUAAGUCAUUUUUCUCAAAUUGAGCUAUUAAACGAUAAAAUUAACACAUGAAACUUUCACACAUACUUAUUCACACGCUGUAAACACAUAAAAUAAUAUUAAAAUAAUUUUAUGACCUCGUAUUUGUGGUUCUAAAGCCAUUGUUCCGAUUUAAGCUAAAACUGGGCUGUUACAACACUCCCCACCAUGAGACUUCCCACAGUGAGCAUAAUUGCGACUCUGAUUUCUAUUACUUGCAAUAGCAGGGUACUGACGUGGUCUAUCUUCACGGACCCUCUUCACUGGGCAUGGAUUAGAAUUUCUCAGACUAGAAUCUCUCUUCACUAGAGUCUUGGUCUUAUCUCUUGUAUCUUGCUUAGCCUCUUUCACCUUUUCAAGGAUCUUCACCUUCUCUACUAAAGUUUCGAAGACUCUCUCCUGCAACAUGAAAAAUUGGGCCUUGAGAUCAUACCUCAGCCCAUUCUCAAAUCUAACAUGCUUUUCCUACUCUGAAGCUUCCAUCCCUUGUGCAUACCGGUUCAAUCUCAAGAACUUAGCCUCAUACUCGGAUAUGGUUCGGUCUCUUUGCUUUAAUUUAAUAAAAUCAAGUUUCCGAGCUUCAACAUACCUCGAGCUCACAUAUUUCUUAUAAAAGGCAGUUUGGACAUAAUCCCAAGUUAUCUUCUUUUGUUGGUUACCUUCCAUGAUAGAUUGCCACCAACAAUAUGCCUCAUCUCUCAAAAGAGACACUGUACACUAAAGUUUAUGUUUUAGGGUACAGUAAAAAUGAUCUAAGAUCCUCUCAAUAGAUGCCAUCUAGUACUCAGGUACCGUAAGGGUUGUCCCAGAAACUCCUCUAAAUACUUCAGCUUUAUUCAACUGAAGCCUCUCAGUAAUAGACUUACGACUUUUAGUUCCUAAUUGGCCUCUAACAACCUGCUAUAAAAUCCUCAAUAGUGUUUGGGAAAUUGUACCAUCUAUAGAUUCAUGAUUUUCCUCCUCAUUAACAAAUUCCUCAGGCACAUUACUCACAAUUUCCAUAACAGGAUCAUCCUCGUUGACACUGAGGUUCGGUGUAGGCAAUCGAGCAGUGAAUGACUCUUUUUAGCCAUACAGUGAUGUGCACCACGAGUUCUAACCCUUUGAUUAUUCAUAGUACUUAAAAUUUAUGAAUUAUCUAACAAUUACAAAUGGAAAUUCUACAUUAUCACUUGAAUUUUUUUUAUCAGAGUCUUUACUAUUGAAAAAAAUACUAUCUAAAAUAUCAUAAUCUAAAGUAAGGAGACUUAUCUUGAUCAGCUUCGGAAGUCCCAAAUUUUUAAUUUUUUGGGGUUUAAAAAUCUUAAAUUCAAUAGAAAGAAAGGUUUUCCAAAAAUUCCUUUAAAAUAUUCGUGCAAACCCAUUAAAAUACACAAUUUGAGUUUUGGAUCGGGCUUUGAUAGCAUUAAACGGAACUCCUAAAACCUCACCUAGACGUUAUGGUUGAAUCUUAAAAAUUAUGUUAAACGAUGUACAAAAUUAUUUGUUUACUUGAAAAUAAAGGUUUUGAGUUUGAAACGUAAAAUUUCUAAGAUUGACUAAUUUUAUUUCUUUGAAAAAUAUUUAAUAAAAUUAUUUAUUUUUAAAAGAAAACGUCACUUAAUUGUAAUGUUGUUCACCUAAGACUAUUUAUGAAUUUAGUAAGAAAAAUUGGAUUUUUCAACCUAACGACAAACUCAACUCAACAAUCGUUAUUUCAUACUCAAGACUUUGUUUUUGAAACUUAACACUAUUUUCUCAUUUAACUGAUAUGUUACAAGAUAUGUCAAAAUUACAAUUUCAAAUCAACGAGUGAGAUGUAGCUAAAAUAUUUUUCGCUGUGACUGUUUUGAAACAUGAUGUUUUCUGGAAACCUUCGAAAACUAGAGUUUUCUAAAGAUAAUCGAUUUUGAAAAAUUCUCUCAAAAAGAAAACUUGCAGGUAUUGCUCAGUUUUUCUCAAGAAAAUUAAAAUGAUGAUUUUUUAGUAACAACAUUAUUCGACAGAAAUAGUUAAAUGAUUUUUCAUGCGAUUACCAUGGCCAAUGUGAUCUUCGAGAUUCGGCCAUAACGUCUAGGUCGGGUUUAGAGUGUUACAGUUUCUUAUAGGAUCAAACUCUUGAAUUAUGAUUAAAGAAUAGAAAAAAGAAGGAUAACAAAUAAAGUGAUAAAAGGGAUAUAACUUUCAAACUUGAAACAAACUUAGAAAUUAACCUACGUUAUAUAACAACGAGACUUAAUUUUUAUACAGUUGUUGAAAACUUAAAAAGUUUGGGAAACGAAGAAGAAUUGUGACCCACUAUCUAUACAGAGAUAGGAACCAAUGGUAUAGGGGUGAUCGCCACACUUCGAAAAUAGGUGAGAGGGGAAGUGAUAAGAUUGAAGGUAGUAAACGCCACAAGAAAACAAUUCUUGAUAAGUUCAUUUUUUAAGUUGUUAAAGAACAAAAAAGAUUUAACUCAAAUAUAUAAAAUGUUCAUUAGCCUUGGAAUGUCUACAAUCAAAACUAUUUAUAGGAAAACUACUAAGUUAGAUGAAUGGAAAAAUUUUGGCCAAUAAUAAUUACAUGCAUCAAACCCAUUAAUGAACCAAAGGAGUUCAUGUAUUUCUUCAUACAUUAAAUGAAUAAAAAGGCUUAUGCUUCCCUCCUUAACGUGCAUGCAUCUAAUUGUUCAAUGUAUAUGUAUAUGUGAAUGGUCACAUUCUCUUCCCCCUUGCCGUCCAUGCAUCUACUAGUUUUCAUUCAUGCAUUUACAAGGUUCAACGUAUGCUACAUAAGUCGCAUACAUUCCCCUUAAUCAUACAUGCAUCUUGGUAUUCAUUGAAUCGGCCAAUAUUAAAAAAAAAGUCCCCCAUUGAUGACGCAUGUCUAUGGAGUUUCUUCCCUUUUUGCCAAUGUAUCUUUUUAGUUCAAUGUGUUGCAUUUAAUCUAUUCAUCCUCCCUUGGUCGUACGUGAAUUUAGAGAAGGUGGUGAAAAUCCACAAGGUACAUGUGUGGUAUAAAUAUAGCUAGCUAAUGUACCUAAAUCACAUAUAAAUAGCAACAUAAGAUCAUUUCAACACAAGAAAAAAUACAGGACAUGACAUAAACAUAGAUUAUCACAUAUCUUAACAUACAAAAUAAGAACAAUAGACACAUGAAAAAUGAACAAAAGACAUAAACACUUAAGCUCAAAACACGCAUAAGCAUUAUUAAAACAUAAAAAUAUAAGACACAAAAAAAAUAAAACAUCCAUAAUAGAAAUUAAGUCAGAAACUGAAGUUCUACUACUAAGUGGCUGAAAAAUAUGGCCGGAAUAACCACUUCAAAGAGGUUGCAUUUUAGCUUGUAUUUGGGCUCCUCACGUUUGGACCAAUCUUCAUGUUUGGACCCAACUUGCAUUAUGGGUGUAAAAACCCAAUUUAGCCCUUUAAUUUGUGGCCCAAUAAAGAAGCAAAAUUGAGUCUUAGCCCAAUCAAAGGCCCACGUGGUUAGGCUUACAUCAAAUAGGAAAGAAUAAUCAUAAAGCAUGUACAAAACAUAAGUUAAAUAGAAAUAUAGGCAUAGGUACUGAACUAUGUACAAGGUUUGCCAUACUUGUGCGAAGCCUGGUUCACAAAAACUUAAUGUCAGCUAACUUAAGAAAAACUUAUGUUUUCAGAAACAUAAUCUUAUUCAAUUGUUUGUUCCGUUUGGAUAAGUGAAUCUCAUUAUAAUGCCUUAGAAUGACUCAACGAGUCCUUAUCAUAAGUGCAGAACAAUGCUAAAUACUCCAACAUGUCUUAUUGAAUGGAGCUUAGCUCGAUAUUCCCUUAUCUUUCUAUCCUGUCCCAGGGCUCAAUGCCCAAAACAUAAAACAUAAAGGUGAGUACUCACCAUCCUAUGGCAUGCCAUUAUAUCCAACUGUAACAACUUGUUUUUGGUUAAAUUAGAAUAGUGGUUUCAGGACCAAAAAUUUGAAGUUGAAAUAAUUAUUUUAUUAUUUUAAUCUUUACAGCAUGAUAGUGUGUUUGUGUGGAAGUUUCGUUUAGAAAUUUUAUCGUUUGAGUGUUUAAUUCGAUAAAAAGGACUAAAUUGCGUAAAGUGCAAAACUUUAGUUCUAUUAAUAAAGGUAUCUAAUAGCUAUGGUUUAUUAAAUUGAAGGUCCUUAAGUGGUAAAUAGACCAUUGUUUAAUUGAAUGGACAUUUAUGUGCAUGGUUAGAUGAAUUUUAAAGGUUAAUAUUCAAGGUUAAUAUAGUAAAUUGGUAAAUAUAUGUUAGUAAAAUAAUAAAGAAACAAAUGGUCAUCUUCCUAAGUGUUUAACCAUCGAAAAUUAACCUUAAAAACUCCAUGGAAAGGGUUUGAAGCAUUCUGCCAUAGCUAUCCAUGCAUGUAAGUGUUUUAUUGCUUGAUUUUUAAUGUUUUCUAUGUUUUUGAUAUCGUUGCAGCUUAGUCUAGCUAGCCCAGGGACUAUUCUGCAAAAUUGUUAAAGGUUUAGGAUGUUUCCAUUGACGAAUGAGCAUGUAUUUUAGUGAUUGAUGAUAGAUUAUGAAUGUUUGAUGAUAGUUACACAGGUUUUGUUAAGUGAUUUUUGGUGAAAAUGUAAAUUAGGGAUUAAAUUGAGAAAUGUGGAAAGUUUGUGGGUAAAUUUUAAAAUAAAUAAAAAUUAUGGGCUGAUAUGUGUACUAGAAAAAUUCGGCUAGCAUGGGUUGGUAUCAAAUUGCAUUAAUUUGUGAUUUUAUGAAAUAAGGACUAAAUUGUAAAAGUUGUGAAAUACUUGGGGAAAAAGUGAAAAUGUGCUCUAAUGAGUGUUUUUGGAUUAAAUUGAAUAGAGCUAUAAUUAAAUAAGCUAAAUUUGAUUACAUAUAGAUCAAGAAAAGUGAAAUUCGGAUUUAGAUUGGGGAAAGACAAAGUACUCGACUAAUCGACCUAUUUCAUCGUUUUUGUGAACUGAGGUAAGUUUGUAUGAUUAAUAAGCUUAAUGUUAUAUGUGUUUAUAUGCUUAGAUAUUAUAAUUGUGAUAUUACGACACUAUGGAAUCUAUCGACAAAGCAUUGACACAGUGAGAAUCCUGGUUGAACCUAAGGAAUAAAUAGGACACUAGUGACAUGUCAUUAGGGAUUAUUAUGAUUAUGUGAUCUGGGUACUGGUCCUGUACAUCCUACCGGUGGCUGAGUAUACCAUCAUGGGUUACGGUAACUUGACAGCUUGUGCAAGCAAAAUUGUGUAGCUACAUCUUGACUAACAGCUUGUAUGAGUAGGCCCGUUGAUAGGUCGAGAGUGAGCAAAUAUGUGAUAUGAGAUUGAUAUAGUAUUGGCUAUGUAUGUGGCACUUUGGUGUGAGAUUGCUGAGUAUCUGAUAUUAUUCUGAAUGGUUCAACGGGAAAAGAUGAUAGUACGAGAAUGUAAGCAAUGAUACGGAUCAUUUCAGGUACUCGUGAAAAGUUUGGCAAGCAAGUGAUAAUUGAUAAGUUUAUUCGAAAUGUAAGUGAAAUUUGAUGAAUUUAUACGUGAUACAUAGAAUUAUGGCAAUGUGUAAAUUUUUGAUUUGAAUGAAAUACUUAUGUUACUCAUGUUCUUUAAAUGGUGAAUAAAUAGGCAAAUUAUACUUAUUAAUCAUAUGAGCUUACUAAGCUAUAAAGCUUACUCUGUUUAUUUUUUCGUGUUUUAUAGUGAUUUCAAAGCUAGCUCAGAUUCGGGGAUUGUUGGAGACCUUAUCACACUAUCAAACUAUCAUUUUGGUACUUUUGAAUCUAUUUUUUUGGAAUAUAUUGCAUGUAUAGGAACUUUGGUCACUCUGGUUUAUGAGUUGAUGAUGAAUUUAGCAAUUAGAAUUGGCUUGUAAAUGUCUAAAUUUUGGUCUUGUAUAUAGCCAUGAAAGUUGGCUUAUUUGGUUGGUUUGGUUAUGUAUAUAUAUUUAUGUGUGCAUAUGGCUUAUGUUUUGUGAUUGAGGUUGGCUUUGUGAUGCUUAUUGUUAGUAGGUAUUGUGGUUGUCAAAUGGUUGAUAUUAGAGAAAAUAUAUGCUUGUAAAUUUAAGCAUAAUGAUGCAUGUUUGGAAAUGUUUACUUAGUUGAAUUGUAUAUGUGAAUUAGGUAUAAUGUAAUGACCCAUUUUAUGACUUGUGUAGAUUGUGGAUAACUGAAUUGAGUUGGCAUGAUUUAGGCUUUAUUUAGUUGGUUUGAAUGCCUAUAUAUGCUAAGUUUUGGUGUCAUUUGGUUUGGUGUAGGUGCAUACAAAUUUGGGUAGCAAAAUGGCUUGGUAAAUAGCCUAUUUUUGUCCACACGGGCAAAGACAUGGGCAUGUGUCUCAGUCGUGUAUGAUACACGGUCAGGUUGCACGGCCUUGUGUCCCUUGGUGUUGAAUUAAAAACCAAGUCAGUAUGCUCCACACGGCCUAGCACACAGUGUGUGAUUGGCCGUGUGGCUUAAGUCAGUAUACCCUACAGAUUGGAACGACCUAGCACACGGCCUAGCACACGGGCAUAUGUGGCCAUUUUUUUGGGCAUAUGGGCUAGUCACACGGGUGUGUGUGUUGGCUGUGUGACCCAAGUUAGAGAGUUACACAGGGUCGGACACAGGCUAGGACACGGCCAUGUGCUCCAAUUUCAAAUGUCCACAUGGCCUGUGACACUGGCGUGUCUUUGGCCGUGUGAGACACACGGCCGGGCCACACGGUAUGUGUCCCCUAUUUUUGGAAAUUUUUUUUAAGUGUUUGAGAAGUUUCUAAAGUUAUCGGUUUAGUCCUGAACCACUCUGAAUGCAUAUUUUGGGCCUCAUAGGCUCGUAUUAGGGACGAUAUGAAUGUUGUUGAUUGAUGACUAUAUGAAAUUUGAAAAUGUAUGUAAAAUGUAUGUGUGAUUGUAUGAUAUGUUCAGUAAUGCUCCGUAACCCUAUUUUAAUUGUAUGAUAUGUCCGGUAAUGCUCCGUAACCCUAUUUUGGCAUUGAAUACGGGUGAAGGGUGUUACACCUACAGAUUCAGAAGGUUACCUUGUCAAAUCAUUUACUUAACAUAGAGUUUGCAAAGCACGAAGUCAUAUGGAGCUCACCAUAUAGAGCUAACAUAUCACUGUUCAUAAAAAUACAUAUUUGAAUACAUUCAUCAAACAAAGUUAUAGAAAAGACUUACUCUCAAAAAUUAGGUCAAAACCCUAAGCUCCUAAUUAACAUUAUGAUCCACAAUACAAGUGGCGAUGCUUGAACACUCACCAAUUUGCUGAGAACUUAGGGAAGCUUAGCUUUUCCCUUAUCUCUACUUGUAGACAGUUUUGUUUGGGUUCGCAAUUGUAACAUCCUGAAGUAGAGCUGAGAAUUAUUAAGCCAGAUGAGCUGGGUUCGCCAAGGAGUUUGGCAAACAGGAAAUUGCCCAAGAGUGUGACGAAUAGGUACUCGUCAAUAAGAUCAUUGAAUAAGGGUUUGCCAGAGGAAAUGAUAAGCAUGUAUACGACAUUAGAUUUGCGAAUAGGUGUGUAAGAACCCAUUUUUCAGUGGUUUUUGACGAGUAAGGUUGUAAAAUUAGUAUUUAAAUUAUACGAGUCAAUAAUAAUUUUUAUAUUGAAUUUUUAUUUAUUGAAUUUUAAUCAGUUGAAUUAAUUGUUAGUAUAAGGGGUUCAGUCCAAAAUCAAGUGGUUUUUGAAAAUGAGGUAUUGGGACCCAUGUCCGUAACUUAAACUUGUAAAUAUUUUUAUUAAAUGUUUAUAGAGUCGUAUUAUAGGGGAAUUGAGGUUUGGUCCAAUAAUUUUGACAAUUGGUUCUUAAUUAAGGUAAAAGGAUUAAAUUGUAAAAUGGUAAAAGUUAAUCGCUAUAGAUUUAAAUUAGUAAAGAGACCAAAAUCAUGAUUAAACCAUGAUAAAAAAAGUCCAAGAAGUGGUGGAUAUGAUUAAUCCACUAGCUUUUAGGCUAUUUGCUCGUUUAGUCCUAAGUAGUUUAGGGUUAAAUUGAAAUUAAGCUUGUUUAGUUAAAAUUGUAAAAUAAUUGAAGGACCAAUUAUGCAGUUAAACCCCUUUAGAUGGUAAUUAUACCAUAUUCUCAUUUGAUGGACAAAUAUGGACAUGUUUUAUUUAUUUUUAUAAGUCAUAAUGUAAAGGUUAAAAUUGUAAAUUAAGUAAAUAAAAGGUUAAAUUAAAAGAAUACUAAAUUAGGUUAUCAUCUUCCAUUCUUUUCUUAUGGAAAAAAAAUGGCCAUUUUUAUGGGAGAAGAAAGUUUUGGUCAAGCUAGGGUUAUGGUAUGUAAGUGAUCCUUUAUCUUGUUUUUAGUAAUUUUAUGUUUUUGAGCUCGUAUUAGCUUGAUUUAGCUAACCUGGAGAAUAAUUUGUAAAACUGUUAAAUGUUAUAGAUAUUCCAUUGAUGAGUUUGAGUUGUUCUUGAAGUUUUAUGGUAGAUUAUUAAGCUUGGUUGUUAAAUAGGAUUAUUUUGUAAAGUAGUUUUUAGUAAUUUUAAUGUUUAAGGACUAAAAUGUUACAGUGAUAAAAUUACAAGGAAUUGAUGUGAAAUAACAGAAAAUAUGUGUUGUCGUAGAGUGCUAUACAAUUCAACUGAACUUAGUUUUAGUUAAAAUUGGUUAAAUUGCAAGUUUUGAGCUUAGCGACUAAAUUGCAUAAAAGUAAAAUGUUGGGGGUGAUUUUGUAAAAUUGUCUAAGAAGGCUUAAUUACAUAAAAUGAGUUAAUUUCACUAUUGGAAUUAGUUAAUUGAUUGAAAUUAUUUAUCUAGAUCAAGAAUGGGUUGAAAAUCGAGGCAUAGAAAAGUUGAAUAGUCUUUGUACCUUUGUCAUCGUUGUAGUUUAGUCUGGUAAGUUCGUUUGGUUCGAUUUUAAUACAUUUUAAAUGUAUAUUAUAUGAACUUAAUUGUACAAUGAUGGAUAAUACUUAUGCAUGUAUUUGGGAAUGAAAGUAAUGAAUUGAUACGGUAUCGAUCACUGAUUGGAAUAUUCUGAGCCGAUGAAUAUAGGAUAGAGUAAGAUUGGCAUGCCAAUAGGUUGUUUUGCGUAUUGGACGAGAUUGGUAUGAGAUGUGAUGGUGAUUUUUGUAUAUCCUCUAUUCAUUGAAUAUACUGAGGUCCUGCAUACGUUGUAGAUUAUCUUGUUUUAUUAGAAUGUUUUUCUAGUGUGUUAUAGGGGCAGAUGUUAGCCUACGGGCUAGACACUUAGUGCCGAGGUGUAUUAUUGAUUGGAUUGGCUCGUAUGAGUGUCUGGUGUGUUCUGGAUGGUUAAACGUGUACUCCUAUCCAUAUAACAUUCACCGAGCAAUGUUUUAUUGAUCAUUGAGUGUUAUUUAAAUGUGAAAUUGAUUUGUAUUAUUGUUUGAACAUUACUCACUUGUUUUGAGUUAUGAUUGACAGGAACUCUAUUAGUAACCUUGUUAUUUGAAUUAUUAUUUUAAUUCAAUAAACUUUAUUAUUUAAUCUAUGAACUUACUAAGCUUUAUGUAAGCUUACUCCUGUCCUUGUCUUUUUCUUUGUAGAUUAUAUUUUUUUUUGAAAAUCAGGAGAUCGAAUCAACUCGAAGAAUCACACUAUUCGAGAACCUUUUGGUAUACUUUGAGUGUGACCUUGGCUUAUAGGCAUGUAAUAGGCUAAUGGUGGAUGUUUUGUGAUAGUCUUAAGCAUAUAUGUGGUAGCUUGAUGUACUUGUAAUAUUGUUGUGUCAAGUAGCUAUUUGCGGCAUGUAUGCUUAAUUCUAGUGAAGGCAUGAGUGGUUGAUGCUAAUCAAGCAUGAAUUGGUAAGUUAUUUUAUUUGAUGUGGUAUGCAUGGAUGGCUUGAAAUUUUACCUUGAUAAUUUUUUAUUAUGUGAUUGAAAUAUUGUGUCAAUGGUGGCACAUUGGUUAGACACAUAGGAUGGUCGAUUAACUUGAUUUGAGUGGUUUAAAAUGCAUUCCAAAUUCUUAUGAACAUGUGUGUAAGUGUAUAAUUAGGCACCUAAGCAAUUGGAUGUGAAAUGGGCAAGUUUUGGGUUAUUUUUGGCACACAUGGGUUAGGAUACGGGCUAUCACACUGUCGUGUGUAACACACGAGUGUAUGCCCCAAACGUGUUAGGUGUAGGGUUCACACAAGCUGACACAUGACCUGCGACACGGCUGUGUAACCCAAGUCAAUGAGUUACAUGGGUGGACACAUGAGUGAGCACACGGGCAUGUGGGAUAGCCAGAUGGCCCUGGUUGGAGCCACACAAUCUGGGCUAUAACAGCCCAUUUUUCUGUAAAAUCGUAACAGUGGUUUUGAGACCACAAAUCUGAUCCGAAAAUAAAGUUGAUUUUUAUUUUAUAAUAUGGUCUGUUUUAUGAUAGACAUGUUGUGUGAAAAUUUUGAUUCGAAAAUUUUAUCGAUUAAGUGUUUAAUUACGAGGACUAAAUCGCAUAAAUGAAAAAGUUGAAUUCUAGUAGCUGUAAGGAUUAAAUAGCUAUGGAAUUCAAAACUAGAGGUCCUUAUAUGGUAAUUAGACCAUUGAAGAAAACUAUGUUGUUUUUUGGUGUCUCAUCCAUGGAAAAAUUAGAAAAGAAUAGGGACUAAAUUGGAAAUUAAAAUAUUUAAUUAAUUAAAAAGAUGAUAAAAGAUACCAUCUUAUUAUUUUUGUCAUCUUCAACCCCAAAAUUAUAUGGAAACCCUAGGAGAGAGAGAAGAAACUUUCAAGGCUUAAUUGGGUAAGUUUCAUUGUCCCGUUUUUAGUAAUUUUGAUAUUUUUGAAACCGGAAUAGCUUAAACUAUCUAUUUUGGGGGAUUAAUUUAAAAAGUUAUCAAAGUAAGGAAAAUGGGUCAUGGAUGUAUAUGCUGAAAAUUAGAAAUUUAAGGUAGAAAAUGAAAGGUUGUUGAUAAAUCAACAACUUUUACAAAGUGAUUUUUGAUGAAAACAUGAUUUAGGGACUAAAAUGUAAACUUGUGAAAUUGAAAAAAAAUGUUGAAUUUUUAUGAAUACAUGUGCUGUAAAUUUUUUUAUGGGAUUUUUGGUUAGGCUUGGAAUAGGGAGUAAAUUGCAUAAGUUUCAUUUUCCGAGCCUAGGGAUGAAAUUAGAAUUUAUGGAAAAGUUAGGGGCAAAAUGGUAAUUUUUCCUAGGGCGUAAAUUGAGUUCAAAUAAUUAUGAAAUAUGAGAAAUUGAUGAUUGAAGCUAUUUAUAUAGAUCUGGACAACACAAAUUCAAGGUUAGACCGAGGAAAAGAAAAUGUUUCGAAUUAGUAGAUUUUAUAUGCGAACAAGUGUUAAUUGAAUGUUAUGCUUGUAUGUAAUGUGACUUACAUUGAAAUGCAUUACUUGAAUGCUAUAAUGGACAAUCUAAUGCAUGCUUGAAAUGGUGAAAAAGGGGUUAAGUCCCGAUUAAAUAUUGAAUUUCGAUGAAUAUAUAUGCUUCUCGAAAUGGAUGAGGUCCUGCAUUUGUUGCGGACGGGAUUUAACUCGGACGAGUAUUCCUAUUGACCUCAUUAUAGAAAUGAUUUAGCUCGGACGAGUAAUCCUGAUAUAAUACUUCUCGACUAUACAUUAUGAUUUGGGUUUAGCCUGGACUGGUAAUUCUAAUUUAGCUCUUCUAAGCAUACGUUAUAUAAAGGAUUUAGCCUGGACUGGUAAUCCUAUUAUACGAUAUGUAGCUCGAGAGUGUGUUCCUUAAUUAAAUGCCCUAAUGGGUACUCUUGAAUAUGAAUUGAUGAAUUAUUAAAUCGUAUACUUUGGGUGUACUACUUGAACAUCCAUCGGAAUUUCAAUGAUUCAAUGGACACGACUCUUGACAUGGUAUGAGAAUUUUUGAGAUGAAAUGAUAAUGACUUGAAAGAAUAUUGCAUGAUGAGCUCAUCUAUGUUUACUUGAUUGAUAUGAAGAUUUUGGUGACUAACAUAUUUGAUUGAAUGCAUGUGGUUAGGCAAUUUUGCUAAUGGAUGGAAAAACAUGAUAUUGUAUGCUUAGGUUUAAUAAACAGGAUUGGUAAGUUUAGUUUCCGUUAUACGAACUUACUAAGCAUGUAAUGCUUACUCCAUUUUAUUUUUCCCUAUUUUAUAGUACUCGAAAGCUCGCGAAGGUUGGAGAUCAUUGGAGCAUCAUCACACUAUCCACUAGCUUAUUUUGGGUUUACAUAUAGUAGAAUCAUUUUGGUAUAAUGGCAUGUAUAGGACAACUUGACCAUUAGUGGCUUGAAAAUGAUGUUUUUAAUCUAGCCAUUGGAAUGGCUAGUAAUUGUUGUUUUGAUAUACUUGUAAUGUCAUGCAAUGGUAGCUAAAUAUAUGUUAAGUGGUUGUUCAAAUUAUGCCUAACAUAUGGAAUAUACCGAUGUAAGAUUAUAAACAUAUAUGCAUGUAAUGAUAUGCCUUGUUGAAUGGUGGAAUUUUCUUAAUUUGAAUAUUUGAAUUGGUUGGUAUUUGGAUGUGUGUUUUAGUGCAGGAAAAUAGUAAAAUUGGGUGACAAAUGAGGCUAGGAAAUGGAUUUAUUUUGUCCACAUGGGCAGAUACAUAGGCGUGUGUCUAGACCGUGUGUGACACAUGGCUUGGUAACAUGGGCGUGUAGUUAGGCCUUGUGUCCCUUGCACCUUAAUUUUGAGAAACAAAAUGCUCAGAAUUGAGCACACGGGCAAAGACACGGACGUGUGUCUCAGUCGUGUGUGCUACACGGCCUAGAACACGAGUGUGUGUCUUGGCCGUGUGAAACCUGCACCUAAUUUCAAAUUAAAUUAAUUAACCACAUGGCCUAGCACAAGGGCGUAUGGCAUGGACGUGUGUACAAGUCAGAGAGUUACAUGGGGUCGAACACGGCCUAUAGUACGGGCGUGUCCCAGGGUCACACGGGCGUCUUCCUUGGACCACACGGGUGUGUGAGCCCUGCAACUUGGAAAAUUGUUGUAAUUUCACGAAAAAUUCUUAGAGCUCCUGAUUAAGUCCCAACUCGAUUCUAAUGCUUAUAUUGGGCCUCGAGGGUCUAAUUAAGGAACGUUUUGUAUGAUCUCAGUUAAUAAAUAGUAAUUUACAUAAAUUAUUGUAAAAUGUUCUGAAUGUUUUGGUAAUACUUUAAAACCCUAUUCCGAUGACGGAUACAGGUUAGGGGUGUUACAUGGGCUCUAUCACCCAACUGUGUGACUCCUAUUUUCAAACUUUUCAUAUUUGCCCCAAAUCUUUUGAUUUGUAUCAAAUUGGUCCCUAAUUGUUCCAAAACUAUUUUUGAGGCCUUAUAGCUUGGAUUUAAGGCCCAUAAAUGUUUGUUUCACUUUAAUUUAAAUGUAAUGAAAAUUUGAUAAUUAAAUUGUAAAAUUGAUACUUUGUGAUACUGAAUGUUCUGAAUUGUACACUAAUACUCUGUAACCUUAAUCCAAUGACAAAGACGGGUUAGGAGUGUGAUAAGGUGUAUGACCAGCAAGUUCGAUGAGCUAAAGUAUGCUAAUAAGCUUGGCUAGUAGGAGUUUUCUAGAAGGCUGAGUGAGCUGGAGUAUGCUAAAGAAUUUAAGGAACUUAGAUUGCUAGUAGGCUUGGCAAAACGGGGAUCACCAGUGGGUCAGUGAACUACAAUUUUUGGCUAUGAGUCAUAAGUAAGAAAAGUCAAAGUAGAGUCAUGCCUCGGUUAGGAAAGUUAGCUUGCUUUUCUCUUUGCAACACUAUCCAUGCAUGUAAUUAAAUUUUACUUCUAUUACGAUUAGAGUAUCAUAAGGACAUUAGGACACGUAGAGCCUAUAAUGUCCUUUCCAAUAAGGGAAUUUCAUUUGCUAUUCUCCUAAAUUUACUAUCAAUCAUUCUAUCGGUAAGUCCUAAGAUCCCAGCACUUAGAAAUCAAGAACCAUCAACAAGAAAAGUCAAGGGAAUAACAAAGCUUGUGAAUAAAGCCAAAAUACACUUCGCACUUAAGGGGGGUAACCUUGUGAACUGGUGAAGGGAUGAAAAUUAUUAUGGUUGGUGAGCAAACUCAAUUCUUGUCCAAUAUGGUCUUGGCAAUUAGGGUAGAGAAGUUGAUAAGGAAAGUCUGCGAAGCCUACCUUGCUUAUGUGGUGGGUUCACCAAGUAAACCGAUAGGAGUUUUCAACAUUCGCACGGUGAAAGACAAUCCUGAUGUAUUUCCAGAAGAGCAACUUGGAAUACCCCCAGGCUGCAAAAUGGAAUCCUCCAUUGAGUUAUACCUAGAUAGUUCGCCAAUGUCCAUUACACCUUAUCGAAUGGCACCAAAAGAGAUUAAAGAAAUGAAAAUCAAACUAUAAGAGUUGCUCGAUAGGGGUUUCAUUUGACCAAGUGUGUCGCCGUGGGGAUCACCAGUAUUGUUUGUAAAGAAGAAAAAUGAGAACUUCAGAAUCUGUAUUGACUAUAGAUUGUUGAAUAAAUUGACUACUUGUUCAAUUAGCUGCAAGGUGCCACGGUAUUUCCAAAGAUAGUCUUAGAAUCAUGGUACUACUAGCUUAAGGUUAAGGAAGCAAAUGUUUAGAAGAUAGCUUUUUACACAAGGUAUGGGCAUUAGGAAUUCCUAGUUAUGCUCUUUAAAUUGAAAAAUGCACCUACUGCAUUCAUGGACUUAAUGAAUUGAGUGUUCCACAUGUAUUUGGACUAGUGUGUCAUGGUUUUCAUAGACGAUAUCCUGACGUACUUGCAAAUCGAUGAAGAACAUGAUGUUCACUUGCAAACUGUGUUACAAAUUUUACGUGAGAAGAAACUAUUUGUGAAGUUCAACAAAUGUGUAUUUUGGUUAAAGGAAGUAGCCUUUUUGGGUCUUGUGGUCUCAGUAGAGGGAGUUUGUGUUGACCCAAAGAAGAUUGAGGAAAUUCUAGAGUGGAGAUCUCUAAGAAGCGUCACAAAGGUACAAAGCCUUUUGGGGCUCGCAGGUAACUAUAACAAAUUUGUUGAUAGAUUCACCACUACCGUGACACCCUUUACAAAGUUAUCACAAAAAAUAUGAGGAGUUCGCAUGGAUGGAAGAAAGAAGAAAAAGCUUCGAAAGACUUAAGGUGAUACUCACUAAAGCACAUGAGUUGGUUCAACCAGAACUUGGGAAAGACAUUUUAGUCUAUAGUGACGCAUCACACUUGGGUUUUGGUUGCGUGUUGGUGGAGGAAGGAAGGGUCGUUACUUAUGACCAAACAGUUGAAGCCUCAUGAACGAAACUACCCAAUGCAUGAUCUGGAGUUAGAAGUAGUGAUGUUCAUACUAAAGAUUUGGUGACACUACUUGUAUGGCGAAUAGUGUACUAUCUAUACUGACCAUAAGAUCCUUAAGUACUUACUUACAUAGAAAGAACUAAACUUAAGACAAAGGAGGUAGAUAGAGCUACUAAAAGACUAAGAUCGCGUGAUAAAAUAUUUCCCAGAAAAUGUGAACGCGGUAGUAGAUGCAUUAAUUAGAAAAUUAGUGAGUGAACUGCGAGCUCUGUUUGUUCGUUUGAGUGUGACAUAUAAUGCGUGACUGCUUGUAGAAUUAUAGGUGAAACCAACCCUUUUUGCAGUAAAUAAAGGAAAAGCCACCCUCAUAUGAGGAUUUAGUGAAGAGGGUUCGCUAAGUGGAACAAAGAGUUCAGCGGGACUUCGCACUGAAUAAAGAAGGGAUACUUUAUUUCCUAAAAAGAUUGUACGUGCCCUGUGAUGAAGAACUUCGAUAUGCGAUCCUUAUAGAAGCUCACAAAUGCCUUUACGCGUUGCAGCCAUAGAGCAAUAAGAUAUUCCAUGACCUUUGUGAAUUGUAUUGGUGGCCUAGCUUGAAGCGAGUUAUUACGAACUAUGUGGAAAAGUGUUUUAUUUUUCAAAUGGUGAAGGCUGGGCAUCAGUAUCUUUCAGGAUUACUACAACCAAUCAAAAUUCAAGAGUGGAAAUGGCAAAGGAUCACCAUGGUCUUUAUGUCAAGCUUGUGACUAACCUCGACAAAAAAAGAUGCAAUAUGGGUGAUUGUGGAUCACCUCACUAAAAUUUUGCACUUCUUUGAAGUCCACACCACUUAUACUCUACAAAAUCUGGUGGAGUUAUACAUCACAAAAAUAGUACGACUUUAUGGUCUGCUCGUUUUCAUUAUUGCCGAUCAAGAUCCACGAUUCAUAUUGAGAUUUUGGAAAAUUUUACAAGAACCCUUGGGUUCGAAAUUGAAUUUCUGUACAGCUUAUCAUCCAUAGAUAGAUGAUCAAUAAGAGAGGGUGAUCUAAGUACUAGAAGACAUGCAACGAAGCCAUGUGGUGGAAUUUGCAAGAAGUUGGGAAUGAUAUCCGCCUUUGGCAGAGUUCGCAUAUAACAACAGUUACUAGGUGUUGGUUGCAUAGCUGAUAUGCAAGUCGUGGAAGUGCAUACAUUGAGCAAGUAAUACAGUGAUGAGUGAUAUUGUCUCCAUGGGGAUUAGAUAGGUAUAAUUUGGUUGAGUUAUUAUAGUCAAGUUUGAUUAAUGCUAAAGCAAAAUAAGAAUAAGAAUGCAAUGGAAAAGAAUGAGAGAAUGGUGAUGUAUAAAAUGUUCAAAACAAGUAAACAGAAUAAGAAUGCCACGAAAAAAUCACUACAAAAAAGGCUUGAGGAACUACAAUGUUGAUUAGGACAGUUGGGAUUACUAAUGGAUCAACCUUAACUUCCUAUUAAUGCCAUAACAAAGUCGUGAAUAUUCUACUAUUUGAUAAGUUUCUACAGUAGUUUGCUUCUCUCGAGAGCAAGAUCUUGGGUUACCUCCCUUAGGGCACUAUGUGUUUAUAGGCUUUGAGUUCAGAUACCACUAAUAUUUCCUACCUUUUUUUGCACAAGGCAAGGCUCUAUGUCUAGAUGUUGCCAUGAAUAAGUGAUUAAUCAUUCACUCAUAUUACCCAACACUUAUCCAGGUAACCCAAACUUAUCGGUAUUAAGUUUUCUUUAUAAUCUUGUCACACAUUUGUUAAUGUACAACCUGCAUAUAACAUGAUAUGCCAUUGAAUAAAAUAGUAGAACAAAGCAAACUUAAACUUUAAACAUUAAUAGAAAUAAAGAUUUCAUCAAAGUAAUCCCAAGCCUAAGAGAUUUAGCUUAUGGUUGGUAAAAUCAAUUUUGAGUUUAAUACGAUAACCAACAUCAUCAAUAGCUGAUAUGCUUUAAAGAAAAGCAUGAUAAGAAACAAAAGAUAAAAUCUAAGAUUACAACUUUCGCCUAUCCAAAUCUCAAAAUAAGCAAUGCAAUGUCUUGCAGUUGCCCAAGAUGGUUAUAGUUGUUAUCUCUUUCUUUUGCUGCCCUUGUUCUUGGCUCCUACCUAAUAUUUACUAUUUCAUCCAAGGCUACUGUCCUAGUCUGUUUUUGGGUGCUCAAGGUUGCUCUGUUUCAUCUAAAGGCUCCCCUUAAUUAGGGUUCCCUGCUUGGCUUUUAUAAGUUUCACCUUCUAGGGUAGGUCUAUCAACGCAUGAUCCUUCCUCUAUUUGCCAAGUAGAUAUAUGUGUGGGGCCAAUAGUGGUACGCGUUAAGUGUUAGCUAGGUGUCUUUUCGGCAUUGACAUGACAUUUUUGUGGGCACUAUCCGUACUUUUCCAUGAAAAACUUUCAAACUUUGCUAUACACUCUACACUAACCAAACAAUAGCCAAACAAAUCUUUCCCACAAGCGGUUAAAAGUAACAUGUAAUCACAAUUAAGCACAAUCAAGCUCUUUAUUACAAUGUUUUAAAAGUGCCAAUGCAAUAUCUUAAAAUGGAAUUAACAACACUCAAGUACAAGUAAUUAACUAAGCCUAAGGGCAUGAAAUAUAACUCCUUUCAAGAGUUAUCACCAAGAAAUUAUCCAAAUGGCACCCUUCGAGGCAUUGUAUGGAAGGAAGUGUUGAACAUCUUUGUGUUGGGUAGAAUUAUAUGAGAAAUGAAUGGCAAGACUAGAGCUAAUUCAUGAAAUAGAAUAUAAGGUGAGAGUGAUAUGCAACAGACUGAAUGUUUUUUUAGACAGACAAAAGUCUUACACCAAUUUGAAAUGACGAGACAUAGAGUACCUGAUACGAACUUGAUGUCAUAAUGUGAUUCGAGUCGUUUGUUUGCUCGAUCGUAAAAAUUAAGUAAGACUUGAGUUGUUUUCAAAUGGGCUAGAAAAGGUUGAAAGAUAGGUUCAAAAUAAAGGGUUAAAGGAUAGUUGUGAUGAUAGAUAGGUGAAUUCAGCUAAGGCCAAGAUUGAACCAACAAUAUAGGUAAAGGUUGACCCGAAUCUUAAAUAGCACUUAGGUGAAAUUAGUUUGGAAAGCUAAAGAACCUUGACCUACUAUCUAUGAUAGAUAGGAACCAGAGGUAUAGAUGAAUGCCACACUUAAGCAAGUGAUAAGUUCAAAGAAAAGACAAGAUUGACACUACAAGACUUGUCUUGAUAAGCCAAUUCAGUCUAGAGAGAACAAUGAGAGUUGAACACACACAAGAAGUAUAAUAUUCAUAAAAUGAGCAAAAGUCCUUACAACAUAGAAUGAACAAAGUAUUUAUAGGCUGAGCUAGCUCCAGCCAAAUGGACAACUUCUAUUCAGCUCAAUUAAGCUAUUAAUGAACUAACUUAACUCCAAAUAUGAUUAACAUGACUUUUAACAACUCCUAAACCGAGGUGACUCUAAUAGCUUAGGCUAUUUACAUUUCCAAUCAGCUUAAUUGAAUACACUUAAUGAGCUGAGCUGAAUCUUGCUAAUUAUUGAUAAUCCAAAGAGUUAUGAGCUCCUUUAAUCCUCUCUUAGGAAGCUGAAUAUGCAGCAGCCUUUUAAUUUAAGUUGUGACGCACAAACAGCCUAAAUGGUGUGAACACAAGAACUCAAUCAGCCUUCAAGUGUGAAUAUAUGAAUUUAAACAACCUCUAAGGUGUGAAAUUAGUUGCAAACUGAAUGGUUUAGUGUGAAUGUGCUUUUGUCCAUUGAUCUCCAUGAAUAAGCACUUGGAGAAGAGUAAUUAGUAGCUUGGUUUUUAAUUCAGCUCCAAAUGCUUUAAUUUCUUUUAAUGUCAUCCGAUGCAUCUAGCUAGCUGAUUCAGCUGGUGUGAACACUUACAAGCACCAAUAAGUUCACUUAAGGACACAUUCAAUACCUAUUUAAAUUGUCUAAGCUUAUGACACAUUAAGUAGCUAUAUUAACUAGAACACAUUAAAUAAACUUAAGACAUAUUAAAUGGUUGUACUAAUUAGAACACAUUAAUUAACUUAAGACAUAUUAAUUACCGAAUCUAAUUAGAACAUAUUAAAUAGACUCAAGGCAUAUUAAAUACUUAAACUAAAAAUAACUAAACAUUAUUAAUGUUUAUUCUAGCAAAUGAUUAAUAAAAAAAUGAAAGCUAAAAUUCAGCUAGUUCAUGAAUGAUCAAUAUACCCCACGAUGGUAUCUCCCCAUAUUCGGUUAAGGUAGCUUGCAAUGGCUUCUUUGAACUUCUUGGCCCUUGCUCGAGUAAUUGGCCCCAAAGGUAGUUCAAUGGGUUUAGUAGCUAGCUCCUUGGCCAUGCUUGCAUCAGUACCAAAAAGGUGAGCAAGUAUCGGUCCUUACAAGGUGGUUGAAAGGAUUGGUCAGUAGCCUACUGACUUAAGCUGCCACAAGAACUAGAGUAAAUCCAUGAUAAACAUCAAGUGUUCAUGUUAAGGAAGUAUCGCGCGAACCCUUCCCACAUUGUUUCAGAAGAUGAAAUUGACGUGUGACCUGGUCUUACUUAUGAUGAAGGGCCCAUGGAAAUCUUAGCUCAUGAAGAAAAGACUCUGUGAAAUAAGAUGAUACCUCUAGUUAAAGUGUUAUGGUGAAAUCACCAAGACCAACGAAACCACUUGGGAAAUAGUGGAAGCCAUGAAUUUCAAGGACAAAAUUUCUUAAGAAAGGGAGAGUUGUAACAUCCCGAAGUAGGGCCUAGAAUUAUAGGGCCAAGUGAGCUGGGUUCACCAAAGAGUUUGGCGAAUAAAAAAUCGCCCAAGGGUGUGAUGAAUAGGUACUUGUUAAUAAGAAUGGUGAACAAGGGUUCGCUAGAGAACAUGAUAAGCAUGUAUACGCCAGUAGAUUGGCGAACAAGUUAAGACCAACAAGUUCAGCAAGCUAAAGUACACCGAUAAGCUUGGCAAGUAGGAGUUCUUUAGAAGGCUUGGUGAGCUGGAGUACGCUAAAGAAUUUAGUGAACUUAGAUUGCUAGCAGGCUUGGUGAAACAGGGAUUGCCAAUGGGCCGGAGAACUAUAGUUUUGGGUUGUGAGUUAAAAAUAAGAAUGGUAAAAGUAGAGUCGUGCCUCAGUUAGGAAUGUUAGCUUACUUUUCUCUUUGCAACACUAUCCAUGCAUGUAGCUCAAUCUUACUUCUAUUAAAAUUAGAGUAUCUUAAGGACAUUAUUACACUUAGAACCUAUAAUUAAGCUAUUUCAAUUAAGGGAAUUACAUAUUAUUUUCUCCUAAAUUUACCGUCGAUUGUUCUGUCAGCCAGUCCUAAAAGCCCAACAUUUAGGAAUCAAAAACCAUCUUUAAGUAAAGUCAAAGGAAUAGCCAAACUUGUCUAAGUCUUCAAGAAAAUUGGUGAUUGUUUAGGGAUCACCACUUGUAUGUACGACCUAUAAUGUUAAUUAGGAGCUUAGGGUUUGACCUAAGUUUCAGGAAGUAAGUCUUUUCUAUUACUUCAUUUUACGAAAGUAUUUCAAUAUGUGAUCUCAUGAAUAGUGACAUGCGAGUUCUAUGUGACGAGCUCUACAUGAUUAUGUGUUUUGUGAGCUCUAUGUUAAGUAAAUGUUUUAAACUAAAUGUAAUGCCCUCAACUCGAUCUGAUUUGUUAGAUCGAGAUCUCGUGUGUUACAUUUCCUAUUAUAGACUUAUUUAUAUCUAAACGUUUAAACUUUCAACAAAAAACAUCUUAUUUAAUAGGACUACUUAGCUAGAUCACGUCUGGACGUACAGUAACUAAUUAUAAAUAUUAAACAUGCCUAUUCAUUAAACGAGGAUUUACAAGUAUAUAUAUCGCACUUAUUUGAAGAACACAUUCUAUUUUCACUACAAGGCUUCCAAAUAGAUUGCCUAGCCCAUUCAGAGUGUUUCUGUCAAAUUUGAUCACGUCACCUCAAGCUCACUCUGUAUGCAUAACAACCCAUCUCGCCAUUCCCCUGUCGUAGUCCCACCUGACAUAGCCUAAAAUAAGUUUACAUGUGUCAUAAAAGACACAAAGUUAAGUUCAUGAAAACUUAGUGAGCAAAUCCUCCUUUACCUGAUUCAUACUUGAAAAUUCCAUAUUCAUAUCCUUUGCUCUUCUCCUUCCUUGACUUAGGCGGUUACAUCCAUAAUAUUCCAUUCAUUGCAUCGUUGGUGUCAUUCCUCAUUCUGAGAUCAUAACUUACUAUUCCUAUCAUCAUUACCUUAUUCAAAUUCUUCAUUUUGUUUUUUCAUGAUUUCUUAACCAUUCAUAUUACAGAGGGCCUUACAGGCAGAAGACCUUGGGUUCGCACUGACGUUGGCACACUGUAGUCUCGUUGUUCUUACCAUGUUACUAUACUGGGUUAGCCAUAAUAGUUCUCAGGGAGACUUUCUUUCAGAGUUCACCAUACUUAUCGUUCCUUUAAGAGACUUCAUAUGCCAUUUUAUUAGAGUUCACCAUGGGUUUCUUUCUUUUUGUUCAGAGUCCACUAUAGAGGCAUUUCUUUCAAAUGGUUGACACAAGUGUCAUUCUUUAGAUGGCGCCAUGAAGGCAUUCCAUUUUAGCGAUAGCUACAAAGGUUUCCUUAUCCAAAGAUUGCCAUAAUGGCUUCAUUAUCCAGAGAUUUCAACAAAGGCUUCCUUAUCUAGAGAUUUCCAUAAUGGCGUCCUUUUCAUUAAGUAGUCGCCACAAAUACUUUCCAUUCAGAGUCUUGCCACAAAGGCAUCAUUUAAGAGGUUCACCGCAAAGGCUUACCUUUCCAAAUUUUUUCUACAAAAGCUAUCCUUUAAUAGGUUCACCACAAAGGCUUGCCUUUCUAGAGUUUUGCAACAAAGGUUGUCCUUUAGUAGGUCCGCCACAAAGGCUUGCCUUUCCAAAGUUUUUCCACAAAGGAUUUUUUUCUCCUAGUGAUUUAGGUGAUAGGGAUUUGCCUAGACUCACACUUAAUAAGGUUUGCCCCUCAUCAUCCUGGGACACAUAGAGAACUUAACCUUAAAUUUUUUCCAUAUGAUGCCAUAACCCACUAGUUACGAUCUUACACAAUAUGAUCUUCUUCCAAUAUGAUGUCAUAACCCACCAGUUACAGUAUUACAUGAUAUCAUUUUCUUUAGUGCCAUGGUCAUGGACUUGUCCUUUCAAAGAUUUGUGAUUUUGUCCUAACAGAUCAUGCAUAUGGAUAUGGACAUGGACAUGGACACAGACUCAUGAUGCAUCCACUCACUCAUGAUAGACAUUCUUAUGCUUACCAGACACACAUACACUUCCUAUCAGACUCGUUCUUCUUACUUUCAGACAUAAACACGUCAUAGUCAUUCAGUUUCAUAAGUCUUACAUCUCUUAUUAGAUUCGUCACAUCAUGGUUUACUAGUUUCAAUCUCAUGCUUUGGCCGCUUAGCAUAGAAGUUUCUAGAUAAGCAUAAUACACAUGCGAUAGUCAAUCUAGGGACUCAUCUUACUUUCAUGAACAAAAAAUUGAUCCCCAAGUUUGCACAUCCUUUUGCGGACCCUUAAAAGUCACUAUUUGUAAGAUAUUGGAAUAUUAUCAAAUCUCACCCAUAUUGUUAGCAUAAAACAUUCACCAUGUAAGGCCUUCUUUUUCUUUCCAUUUGUGUACAUAAUUAAAAUCAUUCAUGCAAAAACAACACGUGAGUCCAAAAUACUUACCCUAUGUGAGAUAAAACCUCAUACAUGAUUAGCGAGAAACCCCUGAUUAGCUUCUAGAGCAAGGCAACAAUGGUUUUAUUUUUGAAUAGCAGGAAGAAGAUGUAACAAUUCGUUUUUCAGUGGUGUCAGAAACAGUGGUUUUAGGACCACCAAAUUUGACAAGUAAGUUUGUAUAUAUUGUUAUUUAAUAUUUAUGAGUCAAACAUGGUUUUAAAAAGGUUUGUGAUAUAGUAAUUUUUGUUAUAUAAAUGAUUUAAUAAGUUCAAGUGGUAAGACCCUAAGGUCAAGUAGGUUUAGAAAAUGAGCCGUAAAUAUUUUUAUAAAUAUUUACAAAGUGUCAUUAAGGUGGUAUUAAAGUUUUGUUCAAAAAUUUGAACGUUUCGGUAGUUAUUUAAUUAAAAAAGACUAAAUCGUAAAAUAUGUAAAAUUUGGUCACUAUUUGAUUUGAGUGAUUAAAUGGUUAGUUGAAUAAAGGAAAACGGACUUAAAUGGUAAUUAGACCAUUCAAAGUGUUAGUGGACAAUAAUGGACAUGAAUUUGAUGUUCUAUUUAAUUAUUAACUAAGGUUAAAAUGGUAAUUUGGUAUAUUAAAUUAAAAUAAAAUAAAAACAAAAGGUAAUUGGUUAUCAUCUUUUUAGUUUCUUUUUCAAACAACCGAAUGUCAUGAAGGAUUUAAGCUAAGUUCAGCCUUGGUGGUUUCCUAUUGUAUGGCAUGUGAUUUUGGCUUAAUUUUUAAUAAUUUUUAUAUUUUUGAGAUUGUUGCAAUUAGACCAGCUAGCCCGUAACUUCAAAUUUGAAAUUGUUAAAGAUUUUGAAUGUUGCCAUUAAUGAGCCUCGUGAUUUUAGAUGUUAAAUGAUGAAUUUGAAAUAUUAGUUGUUAUUUAAAAGUAUUCUAUUAAGUGACUUUUGAUGAAUUUGUCAAUUAGGGACUAAAUUAUUAAUAUAGUAAAAAUACAAGGAUUAGUUAUGAAAUUGUUGCAUGAAUGGGCUGUAUUGGAUAGCAUAAGUAUUCAGUCGGGCUUAAUUUUGGGUAAAAAUGGUUAAUUUGAGUGUUUUAGGAUCAAUGACUAAAAUGAAUAAAAUUUAAACUUUAGGGGUAAAUUUGUAAAAAUGUCAAAAAUGACUAAAUUGCAUAAAGUAUAUUAUUUUACGGUCUAAACUAAUAGAUUGAAUGAAAUUAUUAAUUUAUAUCAAGAUCGGGUGGAAAAUUGAGGAGAAUAGAAAAUUACCAAAAUGCCUCUGUACUUUGACAUUUCUGCAAUUUAGCUAGGUAAGCUCG
RNAcentral lists this long non-coding RNA (35095 nucleotides) under Gossypium barbadense (sea-island cotton). RNAcentral describes it as "long non-coding RNA (GBAR_LNC006533)". The record is from RNAcentral. Lineage: Eukaryota; Viridiplantae; Streptophyta; Magnoliopsida; Malvales; Malvaceae.